This 472-nucleotide ribosomal RNA is filed under the name uncultured bacterium. Its description in RNAcentral is "bacterial SSU rRNA". It matches the Rfam family "Bacterial small subunit ribosomal RNA", at positions 355 to 825 of the family's 1533-position model. The record is from RNAcentral.
UGGGGAAUAUUGGACAAUGGGCGAAAGCCUGAUCCAGCCAUGCCGCGUGUGUGAAGAAGGUCUUCGGAUUGUAAAGCACUUUAAGUUGGGAGGAAGGGCAGUUACCUAAUACGUGAUUGUUUUGACGUUACCGACAGAAUAAGCACCGGCUAACUCUGUGCCAGCAGCCGCGGUAAUACAGAGGGUGCAAGCGUUAAUCGGAAUUACUGGGCGUAAAGCGCGCGUAGGUGGUUAGUUAAGUUGGAUGUGAAAUCCCCGGGCUCAACCUGGGAACUGCAUUCAAAACUGACUGACUAGAGUAUGGUAGAGGGUGGUGGAAUUUCCUGUGUAGCGGUGAAAUGCGUAGAUAUAGGAAGGAACACCAGUGGCGAAGGCGACCACCUGGACUGAUACUGACACUGAGGUGCGAAAGCGUGGGGAGCAAACAGGAUUAGAUACCCGUGUAGUCCCUGAGCGGGCUGGCAAGGCGCAU